GGUUAAGCGACUAAGCGUACACGGUGGAUGCCCUGGCAGUCAGAGGCGAUGAAGGACGUGCUAAUCUGCGAUAAGCGUCGGUAAGGUGAUAUGAACCGUUAUAACCGGCGAUUUCCGAAUGGGGAAACCCAGUGUGUUUCGACACACUAUCAUUAACUGAAUCCAUAGGUUAAUGAGGCGAACCGGGGGAACUGAAACAUCUAAGUACCCCGAGGAAAAGAAAUCAACCGAGAUUCCCCCAGUAGCGGCGAGCGAACGGGGAGCAGCCCAGAGCCUGAAUCAGUGUGUGUGUUAGUGGAAGCGUCUGGAAAGGCGUGCGAUACAGGGUGACAGCCCCGUACACAAAAAUGCACAUGCUGUGAGCUCGAUGAGUAGGGCGGGACACGUGGUAUCCUGUCUGAAUAUGGGGGGACCAUCCUCCAAGGCUAAAUACUCCUGACUGACCGAUAGUGAACCAGUACCGUGAGGGAAAGGCGAAAAGAACCCCGGCGAGGGGAGUGAAAAAGAACCUGAAACCGUGUACGUACAAGCAGUGGGAGCACGCUUAGGCGUGUGACUGCGUACCUUUUGUAUAAUGGGUCAGCGACUUAUAUUCUGUAGCAAGGUUAACCGAAUAGGGGAGCCGAAGGGAAACCGAGUCUUAACUGGGCGUUAAGUUGCAGGGUAUAGACCCGAAACCCGGUGAUCUAGCCAUGGGCAGGUUGAAGGUUGGGUAACACUAACUGGAGGACCGAACCGACUAAUGUUGAAAAAUUAGCGGAUGACUUGUGGCUGGGGGUGAAAGGCCAAUCAAACCGGGAGAUAGCUGGUUCUCCCCGAAAGCUAUUUAGGUAGCGCCUCGUGAAUUCAUCUCCGGGGGUAGAGCACUGUUUCGGCAAGGGGGUCAUCCCGACUUACCAACCCGAUGCAAACUGCGAAUACCGGAGAAUGUUAUCACGGGAGACACACGGCGGGUGCUAACGUCCGUCGUGAAGAGGGAAACAACCCAGACCGCCAGCUAAGGUCCCAAAGUCAUGGUUAAGUGGGAAACGAUGUGGGAAGGCCCAGACAGCCAGGAUGUUGGCUUAGAAGCAGCCAUCAUUUAAAGAAAGCGUAAUAGCUCACUGGUCGAGUCGGCCUGCGCGGAAGAUGUAACGGGGCUAAACCAUGCACCGAAGCUGCGGCAGCGACACUAUGUGUUGUUGGGUAGGGGAGCGUUCUGUAAGCCUGUGAAGGUGUGCUGUGAGGCAUGCUGGAGGUAUCAGAAGUGCGAAUGCUGACAUAAGUAACGAUAAAGCGGGUGAAAAGCCCGCUCGCCGGAAGACCAAGGGUUCCUGUCCAACGUUAAUCGGGGCAGGGUGAGUCGACCCCUAAGGCGAGGCCGAAAGGCGUAGUCGAUGGGAAACAGGUUAAUAUUCCUGUACUUGGUGUUACUGCGAAGGGGGGACGGAGAAGGCUAUGUUGGCCGGGCGACGGUUGUCCCGGUUUAAGCGUGUAGGCUGGUUUUCCAGGCAAAUCCGGAAAAUCAAGGCUGAGGCGUGAUGACGAGGCACUACGGUGCUGAAGCAACAAAUGCCCUGCUUCCAGGAAAAGCCUCUAAGCAUCAGGUAACAUCAAAUCGUACCCCAAACCGACACAGGUGGUCAGGUAGAGAAUACCAAGGCGCUUGAGAGAACUCGGGUGAAGGAACUAGGCAAAAUGGUGCCGUAACUUCGGGAGAAGGCACGCUGAUAUGUAGGUGAAGCGACUUGCUCGUGGAGCUGAAAUCAGUCGAAGAUACCAGCUGGCUGCAACUGUUUAUUAAAAACACAGCACUGUGCAAACACGAAAGUGGACGUAUACGGUGUGACGCCUGCCCGGUGCCGGAAGGUUAAUUGAUGGGGUCAGCGGUAACGCGAAGCUCUUGAUCGAAGCCCCGGUAAACGGCGGCCGUAACUAUAACGGUCCUAAGGUAGCGAAAUUCCUUGUCGGGUAAGUUCCGACCUGCACGAAUGGCGUAAUGAUGGCCAGGCUGUCUCCACCCGAGACUCAGUGAAAUUGAACUCGCUGUGAAGAUGCAGUGUACCCGCGGCAAGACGGAAAGACCCCGUGAACCUUUACUAUAGCUUGACACUGAACACUGGUCCUUGAUGUGUAGGAUAGGUGGGAGGCUUUGAAGCGUGGACGCCAGUCUGCGUGGAGCCGACCUUGAAAUACCACCCUUUAAUGGCUGGUGUUCUAACGUAGACCCGUGAUCCGGGUUGCGGACAGUGUCUGGUGGGUAGUUUGACUGGGGCGGUCUCCUCCCAAAGAGUAACGGAGGAGCACGAAGGUUAGCUAAUCCUGGUCGGACAUCAGGAGGUUAGUGCAAUGGCAUAAGCUAGCUUGACUGCGAGAGUGACGGCUCGAGCAGGUGCGAAAGCAGGUCAUAGUGAUCCGGUGGUUCUGAAUGGAAGGGCCAUCGCUCAACGGAUAAAAGGUACUCCGGGGAUAACAGGCUGAUACCGCCCAAGAGUUCAUAUCGACGGCGGUGUUUGGCACCUCGAUGUCGGCUCAUCACAUCCUGGGGCUGAAGUAGGUCCCAAGGGUAUGGCUGUUCGCCAUUUAAAGUGGUACGCGAGCUGGGUUUAGAACGUCGUGAGACAGUUCGGUCCCUAUCUGCCGUGGGCGCUGGAGAAUUGAGGGGGGCUGCUCCUAGUACGAGAGGACCGGAGUGGACGCAUCACUGGUGUUCGGGUUGUCAUGCCAAUGGCACUGCCCGGUAGCUAAAUGCGGAAGAGAUAAGUGCUGAAAGCAUCUAAGCACGAAACUUGGCCCGAGAUNNNNNNNNNNNNNNNNNNNNNNNNNNNNNNNNNNNNNNNNNNNNNNNNNNGAAGAACUUACCUGGCCUUGACAUG
Ribosomal RNA from Oryza sativa (Asian cultivated rice), 2855 nucleotides. It matches the Rfam family "Bacterial large subunit ribosomal RNA". The record is from Rfam. NCBI's taxonomy places the organism in Eukaryota, Viridiplantae, Streptophyta, Magnoliopsida, Poales, Poaceae.